CAUCGCCUCUUGACCAAGUAUAAGAGGUUCAGCCUGCCCAGUGACAAAAUUCAACGGCCGCGGUACCCUAACCGUGCGAAGGUAGCAUAAUCACUUGUUCUCUAAAUAGGGACUAGUAUCAACGGCACCACGAGGGCUGUACUGUCUCCUUUCUCCCAUCAGUGAAACUGAUCUCCCCGUGAAGAAGCGGGGAUUAUUAUAUAAGACGAGAAGACCCCAUGGAGCUUUAAACUCAUCACCCACUUCCUCACUUCUAUGCCCAAUCAUAUAAGGAACCUGCGUGAUAGUUUUGGGUUGGGGGGACCACGGAGUACAAUUCAACCUCCGCGACAAAUGGGCUACGCCCUUAUCUACGAACUACAACUCUAAGAAUCAUAAGCUGAUGUUUAAUGACCCGAUAAUUCGAUCAACGAACCAAGUUACCCUGGGGAUAACAGCGCAAUCUACUUCAAGAGCCCCUAUCGACAAGUAGGUUUACGACCUCGAUGUUGGAUCAGGGUAUCCUGGGGGUGCAGCCGCUCCCGAUGG
RNAcentral lists this ribosomal RNA (528 nucleotides) under Nidirana hainanensis. RNAcentral's name for it is "partial large subunit ribosomal RNA". It matches the Rfam family "Bacterial large subunit ribosomal RNA", at positions 1826 to 2571 of the family's 2925-position model. Lineage: Eukaryota; Metazoa; Chordata; Amphibia; Anura; Ranidae. The record is from RNAcentral.